RNAcentral lists this ribosomal RNA (445 nucleotides) under uncultured bacterium. Its description in RNAcentral is "partial 16S ribosomal RNA". It matches the Rfam family "Bacterial small subunit ribosomal RNA", at positions 354 to 796 of the family's 1533-position model. The record is from RNAcentral.
GUGAGGAAUAUUGCGCAAUGGAGGCAACUCUGACGCAGCCAUGCCGCGUGCAGGAAGAAGGCGCUACGCGUUGUAAACUGCUUUUAACCGGGAAGAAACCCCAGGACGUGUCCUGGGUUGACGGUACCGGAGGAAUAAGCACCGGCUAACUUCGUGCCAGCAGCCGCGGUAAUACGAAGGGUGCAAGCGUUAUCCGGAUUCAUUGGGUUUAACGGGUGCGUAGGCGGAGCGUUAAGUCAGUGGUGAAAUCCUGCAGCUUAACUGUAGACUUGCCAUUGAUACUGGCGCUCUUGAGUGCGCUUGAAGUGGGCGGAAUGUGCCGUGUAGCGGUGAAAUGCUUAGAUAUGGCACAGAACACCAAUUGCGAAGGCAGCUCACUAAGGCGAUACUGACGCUGAGGCACGAAAGCGUGGGGAUCGAACAGGAUUAGAAACCCUAGUAGUCC